GUUCUCACUUCAGCAGCACAUAUCCUAAAAGUGGAAUGAUACAGAGAAGAUUAACAUGGCACUUGCACAAGGAUGACACACAAAUUCGUGAAGUGCUCCAUAUUUUU
Bison bison bison is the source of this 107-nucleotide small nuclear RNA. Lineage: Eukaryota; Metazoa; Chordata; Mammalia; Artiodactyla; Bovidae. The record is from Ensembl.